ACGCGAUAAGUAGACCGCCUGGGGAGUACGGUCGCAAGACUAAAACUCAAAUGAAUUGACGGGGGCCCGCACAAGCGGUGGAGCAUGUGGUUUAAUUCGAUGCAACGCGAAGAACCUUACCUGGUCUUGACAUAGUAAGAACUUUCCAGAGAUGGAUUGGUGCCUUCGGGAACUUACAUACAGGUGCUGCAUGGCUGUCGUCAGCUCGUGUCGUGAGAUGUUGGGUUAAGUCCCGCAACGAGCGCAACCCUUUUCCUUAUUUGCCAGCGGGUUAAGCCGGGAACUUUAAGGAUACUGCCAGUGACAAACUGGAGGAAGGCGGGGACGACGUCAAGUCAUCAUGGCCCUUACGACCAGGGCUACUCACGUGCUACAAUGGUCGGUACAAAGGGUUGCUACCUAGCGAUAGGAUGCUAAUCUCAAAAAGCCGAUCGUA
This 436-nucleotide ribosomal RNA is filed under the name uncultured bacterium. RNAcentral describes it as "bacterial SSU rRNA". It matches the Rfam family "Bacterial small subunit ribosomal RNA", at positions 855 to 1290 of the family's 1533-position model. The record is from RNAcentral.